CAAUAGCGUAUAUUAAAGUUGUUGCAGUUAAAAAGCUCGUAGUUGGAUUUCUGGUCGGAAGCUCCUGUCCUCUGAUGAGCGUACAAGUGCGUCCUACCAUCCUUCUGUUAACCUUUAAGGCUUUCGCGGCUUUCUAGGGGCUCAGAUAUUUUACCUUGAGAAAAUAAGAGUGUUUCAGGCAGGCUAGCGCCGGAAUACAUUAGCAUGGAAUAAUGGAAUAGGACUUUUGCCUCUUCUGUUGGUCAUGAGGCUCGAGUAAUGAUUAAUAGGGAUAGUUGGGGGCAUUAGUACUUAACUGUCAGAGGUGAAAUUCUCGGAUUUGUUAAAGACUAACUUAUGCGAAAGCAUUUGCCAAGGAUGUUUUCAUUAA
RNAcentral lists this ribosomal RNA (370 nucleotides) under uncultured eukaryote. RNAcentral describes it as "partial 18S ribosomal RNA". It matches the Rfam family "Eukaryotic small subunit ribosomal RNA", at positions 592 to 976 of the family's 1831-position model. The record is from RNAcentral.